ACUAAGGCUGCCUACUGGUGCAGGAAAAACUACUAUGCGCUAAACGCAAUGAUUGUUUGCGAUGCUGACCUCUGCAUUCAGAGCAUCGAUGCCACCUUCCCUGGCUCUGUCCACGACUCAUUUGUGUGGCGAAUGUCCUUCCUGAGGGAGGCAUUCCUGCAAGGGCAUGCCGUGCGAGAAAAUGAGUGCCUACUUGGGGACAGUGGAUAUCCACUUGAGCCAUGGCUCAUGACCCCCGAGCCAGGCAACCAUACAGCGG
Molecule: long non-coding RNA, 259 nt
Organism: Ixodes scapularis (black-legged tick)
Lineage: Eukaryota; Metazoa; Arthropoda; Arachnida; Ixodida; Ixodidae
Exons: 3
Source: RefSeq, a predicted model, not a curated record